Molecule: ribosomal RNA, 574 nt
Filed under: Colletotrichum acutatum
Lineage: Eukaryota; Fungi; Ascomycota; Sordariomycetes; Glomerellales; Glomerellaceae
Description: eukaryotic LSU rRNA
Rfam family: 5.8S ribosomal RNA (bases 209-362)
Source: RNAcentral
UAGGUGGACGUGCGGAGGGAUCAUUACUUGAGUUACCGCCUACAACCCUUUGUGAACAUACCUAACCGUUGCUUCGGCGGGCAGGGGAAGCCUCUCGUGGGCGGACCCUCCCGGCGCCGGCCCCGUCACGGGGGCGGAGCGCCCGCCGGAGGAAACCAAACUCUAUUUACACGACUGUCUCUUCUGAGUGGCACAAGCAAAUAAUUAAAACUUUUAACAACGGAUCUCUUGGUUCUGGCAUCGAUGAAGAACGCAGCGAAAUGCGAUAAGUAAUGUGAAUUGCAGAAUUCAGUGAAUCAUCGAAUCUUUGAACGCACAUUGCGCUCGCCAGCAUUCUGGCGAGCAUGCCUGUUCGAGCGUCAUUUCAACCCUCAAGCACCGCUUGGUUUUGGGGCCCCACGGCCGACGUGGGCCCUUAAAGGUAGUGGCGGACCCUCCCGGAGCCUCCUUUGCGUAGUAACUAACGUCUCGCACUGGGAUCCGGAGGGACUCUUGCCGUUAAACCCCCAAAUUUUUUCAGGUUGACCUCGGAUCAUGUAUACACCCGCUGAACUUAAGCAUAUCAAUAAGCGGA